This is a non-coding RNA of Triticum aestivum (bread wheat), 135 nucleotides long. NCBI's taxonomy places the organism in Eukaryota, Viridiplantae, Streptophyta, Magnoliopsida, Poales, Poaceae. The record is from Rfam.
CAACUACUCCCUCUGUCCCAAAUUUCUUGUCUUAGAUUUGUCUAGAUACGGAUGUAUCUAAUACUAAAAUGUGACUUGAUACAUCUAUAUCUAGACAAAUCUAAGACAAGAAUUUUGGGACGGAGGGAGUACUUU